AUGUUGACCAAAUCGUUUCUUCAAAACCUGGUUCACAAAUACUAUGAUCUUGCUACUAGCUUCUAUGAGUGUGGCUGGACUGAAUCCUUCCACUUUGCUCAUAGCAUUUUAGGUGGAAUGGUGAACCUUGAAGCGGAAGUACCAAACGGUACGAGCACUUUCUGGCCCUAUGGCUUGAGUUGA
This 183-nucleotide ribosomal RNA is filed under the name Triticum aestivum (bread wheat). RNAcentral's name for it is "partial small subunit ribosomal RNA". The record is from RNAcentral. Lineage: Eukaryota; Viridiplantae; Streptophyta; Magnoliopsida; Poales; Poaceae.